AACGUAGGAGGCGAGCGUUAUCCGGAUUUACUGGGCGUAAAGCGCGUGCAGGCGGUUUGGUAAGUCGAGCGUGAAAGCUCCCAGGCUCAACCGGGAGAGGACGUGCGAAACUGCCAGACUAGAGGUAGAGAGAGGCAAGUAGAAUUCCGGGUGUAGUGGUGAAAUGCGUAGAUAUCCGGAGGAAUACCAGUGGCGAAGGCGACUUGCUGGCUCUGCACUGACGCUCAGACGCGAAAGCAUGGGGAGCGAACGGG
RNAcentral lists this unclassified non-coding RNA (254 nucleotides) under uncultured Anaerolineae bacterium. Its description in RNAcentral is "contains 16S-23S intergenic spacer region". It matches the Rfam family "Bacterial small subunit ribosomal RNA", at positions 524 to 776 of the family's 1533-position model. The record is from RNAcentral. Lineage: Bacteria; Bacillati; Chloroflexota; Anaerolineae.